GUCCCUUCAGGGACAUUCGAUAAAAUUGGAAUGAUACAGAGAAGAUUAGCAUGGCCCCUGCACAAGGAUGACACGCACAAAUCGAGAAAUGGUCCAAAUUUUU
This is a non-coding RNA of Triticum urartu, 103 nucleotides long. The record is from Rfam. NCBI's taxonomy places the organism in Eukaryota, Viridiplantae, Streptophyta, Magnoliopsida, Poales, Poaceae.